GCUUAAAAUAUUUCCCAAGAGGAAACUUACGACCAAUAUUUAUUAUUAUUUUUUAAAAGUGUGAGGAGACUGUUUUUUGCAUAUUUUUAUCUGCCUUAAUGCCCAACUAUCUAUCUAUGAGAGAUCUCAAACUCCUUUCAAACAAUGUCGUCUUUUUCAAAAGUAGGCAACACUGCAGCCUGCAGAAUGAACGGCAUCAGAAACAAAAUUCCAAACGAAAUCAGCUUAAAUUUCAGCUUUCAAGUGGACUCCUCCACUCAAUUUUGUGCUCAGUCAGCGACUCGCUGCCUCCGAUGUUCGGAUGGUGCAAUCAACAAGACAACCGCAGCGCGUGUCCUGGCAUGCGUGGGGUAAGGGCAGGCGUUCUGACUGGUGGUGCACGGUCGAAGGUGGGGAAAGGGGAUUUGUGAGACCAGCUGCGGCCGCUCAUAGAUGACUCUUGAGUCUGAGGCCACUCAGCACCAGCAGCAGCACCAGCAGCAGCACCAGCAGCAGCAGCAGCAGCAGCGACUGCAGCUGCAACGUGGAACGUAGUCGCCGGUCUCGUCGUCGACUUAGUUAGCCACUUUUCCUUUAUAUAAAAUGCGCCUUUUGUGCCUCGAGUGCCCCGGCUGCCGCGCCGCCCCUUCCUCACUUUCAUAAGAAAAAUACAGUUUGCUUCAAGUUUA
Long non-coding RNA from Drosophila montana, 668 nucleotides. RefSeq lists it as uncharacterized. Lineage: Eukaryota; Metazoa; Arthropoda; Insecta; Diptera; Drosophilidae. The record is from RefSeq and is a predicted model, not a curated record. The transcript is spliced from 2 exons.